RNAcentral lists this long non-coding RNA (600 nucleotides) under Astyanax mexicanus (Mexican tetra). Its description in RNAcentral is "lncRNA (ENSAMXG00005024706.1)". Lineage: Eukaryota; Metazoa; Chordata; Actinopteri; Characiformes; Acestrorhamphidae. The record is from RNAcentral.
ACUACUAAUACUGCUGCUACUACUACCAGUACUAUUACUAUUAUUUGAUAUUUUGUGUUGUUAGGGCAUUCUUUAAGCACUAAGCAUGGCUUGGUUACACAACUACAGAUCAGAUAAGAUUUUUACAAGAUAAAUAAUUUUGUUGCUUCUUCCUCUCAACCUGCAAGAAGAAAACUCAGCACAACUGUUCACUUCUCACACCAGAGCUAAACCUCUCUCAUCUCAGCACAGCUGCAGAUCCACCGCUCUACACUGUGAGAAUGAACCCCAAAACAUUUCUGUGUUUAACAGCACUCCUGUUCCUGUCUGUUCAUCUCUGUUGUGGAGGAGAUAAAGCCCCCAAGAAGCCAUCGGGUAAAGCUGUGUGGGAACCUGGACGCACAGUUCUAAUGGCCAGUCCUCUUAUACGUUCAGUGAGUUAAUUUUCUUUUUUUUUAAUUUAUAAAUUUGGCUAAAUAUUGAGAUGUUAAAAAAUAUUGAUAUAUUUUCAUAUGAGAUAUAAGAUGAGACAAUAUUGUUUAUAUCGAUAUAGACUAUACUGCAUUACAGUGAGCUCUGUCAGUUUUCCCCGUGUCUCUGGAUGGCAUCAUGGUAUAGAAG